Molecule: long non-coding RNA, 1250 nt
Filed under: Mustela putorius furo (domestic ferret)
Lineage: Eukaryota; Metazoa; Chordata; Mammalia; Carnivora; Mustelidae
Description: lncRNA (ENSMPUG00000028547.1)
Source: RNAcentral
GUUUUAUUUAUUUAUAUAUUUUUAAAGAUUUUAUUUAUUUAUUUGACGGGCAGAGAUCACAAGUAGGCAUAGAGGCAGUCAGAGAGAGAGAGGAGGAAGCAGGCACUCCUCUCAUCCCAGGACCCUGGGAUCAUGACCCGAGCCAAAGGCAGAGGCUUUAACCCACUGAGCCACCCAGGAGCCCCAAAUUCUCUGUAUUAAAAAAAAAUCAUUCAUGAUCUCGUUUCUUUCUUUUCUUUUUUUAAAAGAUGUUAUUUACUUAUUUGUCAGAGAGAAAGAACCAGGGGAGGGAGAGGCAGGCAGAAGGAGAAGCAAGGAGCCCAAUGAGGGACACAGUCCCAGGACCCUGGGAUCAUGACCCAAGCCAAAGGCAGAUGCUUAAUUGACUGAACCACCCAGGCGCCCCAAGCUGCGUGUUUCUUAAGGCCUGGAUGGAGAAAUUGGUUCAGCGUUUAUUCCUUCCAAGCCGUCAUAGAGUACAGAUUCAAGGACGGGGAUUUUGAUUCCCCCACUCAAUAUCGUUGAAGAAUACCAAAGGAUUGAAGAAUAUCAAAGGAUUUGUGGGCGUGUUUUAUUUUUUAAUUUUUCAGUAAGCUUGAGGCACAACGUGGGGCUUGAACUCAAGACCUCCAGAUCAAGAGCCGCAUGCUCUACCAACAGAGCCAGCCAGGUGCCCCAGAUUUGUGGGCCUGUUUUAAACUUCCCACAGAGUGUGUGUAGGAGUAAGGGUCAAGGAGAUACCCUCAGGGAGGCAGAGUCAGAAAGAAUGAGAGGUGCCUAGGUGGCUUAGUUGGUUAAGCAGUUAAGUGUCCGCCUUUGGCUCAGGUCAUGAUCACAGGGUCCUGGGAUUGAGCCCUUCUAUGGGCUCCCUGCCCAGAGGUCAGCCUUCUUCUCCCUUUCUGUCUGGGCCCCCUCCUUGUCUGUCUCUAUCAGAUAAAUAAAUAAAAUCUUUAGAAAAAGAGAGAGAGAAUGAGCUUAAAUUCUGGGUCACAGCAGGUGCAGCCAUCCUUCCCACCUGGGGUUCUUCCCAUGUUUUGUUAUUUGAACUUUAUUGACUCUGUAAAGCUCAGCAGAAAGUUUACAUUCUCAGAAUAUCCUUUUUCUGACUCCAGCAUGAAGUCAAACACUGUCAUAGCUCUUUCUUCUUUUCCUUCACAGCACUUCACAAAGUUUCUAUUUAUAUUUAUGUGGCUGUUUUAUCUCUUCCACUGGAUUAUGACUGUCCUUAAAAGCAGAGAGAGAGAGAGCAA